UUACGGCCAUAUCACGUUGAAAUAUCAGUUCUCGUUAGAUCAUCGAAGUUAAGUAACGUUGAACCUGAUCAAUACGAAGCUGGGUGACCGUUGGGGAAUACCAGGUUCUGUAAG
Molecule: non-coding RNA, 114 nt
Organism: Acanthosepion pharaonis
Lineage: Eukaryota; Metazoa; Mollusca; Cephalopoda; Sepiida; Sepiidae
Source: the annotation of a GenBank genome assembly